This 107-nucleotide small nuclear RNA is filed under the name Nannospalax galili (Upper Galilee mountains blind mole rat). Lineage: Eukaryota; Metazoa; Chordata; Mammalia; Rodentia; Spalacidae. The record is from RNAcentral.
GUUCUCACUUUGGCAGCACAUAUACUGAAAUUGAAACAAUACAGAGAAAAUUAGCAUGGCCCCUGCACAAGGAUGACACGCAAAUUCGUGAAGCAUUCGAUAUUUUU